RNAcentral lists this unclassified non-coding RNA (253 nucleotides) under uncultured Caryophanaceae bacterium. RNAcentral's name for it is "uncultured Planococcaceae bacterium contains 16S-23S intergenic spacer region". It matches the Rfam family "Bacterial small subunit ribosomal RNA", at positions 524 to 776 of the family's 1533-position model. The record is from RNAcentral. Lineage: Bacteria; Bacillati; Bacillota; Bacilli; Caryophanales; Caryophanaceae.
UACGUAUUUGGCAAGCGUUGUCCGGAAUUAUUGGGCGUAAAGCGCGCUCAGGCGGGCCUUUAAGUCUGAUGUGAAAGCCCACGGCUCAACCGUGGAGGGUCAUUGGAAACUGGAGGACUUGAGUGCAGAAGCGGAAAGUGGAAUUCCAUGUGUAGCGGUGAAAUGCGUAGAGAUGUGGAGGAACACCAGUGGCGAAGGCGAAUUUCUGGUCUGUAACUGACGCUGAGGCGCGAAAGCGUGGGGAGCAAACAGG